RNAcentral lists this ribosomal RNA (205 nucleotides) under Clostridioides difficile. RNAcentral's name for it is "partial 16S ribosomal RNA". It matches the Rfam family "Bacterial small subunit ribosomal RNA", at positions 1 to 212 of the family's 1533-position model. The record is from RNAcentral. Lineage: Bacteria; Bacillati; Bacillota; Clostridia; Peptostreptococcales; Peptostreptococcaceae.
UUAUUUGAGAGUUUGAUCCUGGCUCAGGAUGAACGCUGGCGGCGUGCCUAACACAUGCAAGUUGAGCGAUUUACUUCGGUAAAGAGCGGCGGACGGGUGAGUAACGCGUGGGUAACCUACCCUGUACACACGGAUAACAUACCGAAAGGUAUGCUAAUACGGGAUAAUAUAUUUGAGAGGCAUCUCUUAAAUAUCAAAGGUGAGC